RNAcentral lists this non-coding RNA (93 nucleotides) under bovine gut metagenome. RNAcentral describes it as "TPP riboswitch (THI element)". It matches the Rfam family "TPP riboswitch aptamer (THI element)", at positions 6 to 99 of the family's 105-position model. From Rfam's summary of the family: Vitamin B(1) in its active form thiamin pyrophosphate (TPP) is an essential coenzyme that is synthesised by coupling of pyrimidine and thiazole moieties in bacteria. The previously detected thiamin-regulatory element, thi box was extended, resulting in a new, highly conserved RNA secondary structure, the THI element, which is widely distributed in eubacteria and also occurs in some archaea. The record is from RNAcentral.
AUCACCGGGGGAGCUGUUUUGCUGAGAGGUCCCGAAAGGGAUGACCCCUAUCACCUGAUCCGGAUAAUGCCGGCGUAGGAAAGGAGUUUUUUU